Molecule: ribosomal RNA, 139 nt
Filed under: uncultured eukaryote
Lineage: Eukaryota
Description: partial 18S ribosomal RNA
Rfam family: Eukaryotic small subunit ribosomal RNA
Source: RNAcentral
UGGUGGAGUGAUUUGUCUGGUUAAUUCCGUUAACGAACGAGACCUCAGCCUACUAACUAGACGCGAUAAUCAAACGAUUCACGCGCGCUUCUUAGAGGGACUAUCGGUGAUUAACCGAUGGAAGUUUGAGGCAAUAACA